UCGCCUGUUUUUCAAAAACAUGGCCUUUUGGUUUGUGAAGAGUAUGAAAGGUUUGACCUGCCCAGUGGUUUUAUCUAAACGGCUGCAGUGAAUAACUGUACAAAGGUAGCGAAAUCAGUUGUCCUUUAAAUGGGGAAAGGUAUGAAAGGUUUGACGAUAAAAAAGCUGUCUCUUAAAAAUAUUAUGAAGUUUCCGUUUAAGUGAAAAGGCUUAAAUUUUUGAAAAAGACGAGAAGACCCUAUUGAGCUUGAUUAUAUUUUUUUGUUGGAAAGGGUUGAAGUUUUAUUGGGGCAAUAGGAAGCUAAAAAGAACGCUUCUUUUUAGAGUGAAGAUCCUUCAUGGAAGAAAUAAGCAAAAGCUACCAUAGGGAUAACAGCGUUAUCUUUCUUGAGAGUUCUGAUUAAGGGAAAGGUUUGCGACCUCGAUGUUGGAUUAAGAUAUCUUUUUGGUGCAGCAGCUAAAAAAGUAAGACUGUUCGUCUUUUAAAAUUUUACGUGAUCUGAGUUCAGACCGGA
This 515-nucleotide ribosomal RNA is filed under the name Archivesica packardana. Its description in RNAcentral is "partial 16S ribosomal RNA". It matches the Rfam family "Bacterial large subunit ribosomal RNA", at positions 1796 to 2620 of the family's 2925-position model. Lineage: Eukaryota; Metazoa; Mollusca; Bivalvia; Venerida; Vesicomyidae. The record is from RNAcentral.